RNAcentral lists this ribosomal RNA (494 nucleotides) under uncultured bacterium. Its description in RNAcentral is "partial 16S ribosomal RNA". It matches the Rfam family "Bacterial small subunit ribosomal RNA", at positions 28 to 507 of the family's 1533-position model. The record is from RNAcentral.
GACGAACGCUGGCGGCGUGCUUAACACAUGCAAGUCGAACGGAAAGGCCUGCUUUCCCUUGUGGAUUGCGGGUACUCGAGUGGCGAACGGGUGAGUAACACGUGAGUGAUCUGCCCCCAACUUGGGUAUAAGCCUGGGAAACUGGGUCUAAUUCCCGAUAGGACUGCAGGGUGGUGCCUGUGGUGGAAAACGAUUUUCUAGUGGUUGGGGAUGAGCUCGCGGCCUAUCAGCUUGUUGGUGGGGUAAUGGCCUACCAAGGCGGCGACGGGUAGCCGGCCUGAGAGGGUGGACGGCCACAUUGGGACUGGGAUCCGGCCCAGACUCCUACGGGAGGCAGCAGUGGGGAAUAUUGCACAAUGGGCGGAAGCCUGAUGCAGCGACGCCGCGUGGGGGAUGACGGCCUUCGGGUGGUAAACUCCUUUCGACCGCGAGGAAGCCACCUGGUUGGAAGGGUGGUGACGGUAGUGGUAGAAGAAGCACCGGCUAACUACGUG